UUUAAAACACCCAAAGCAUAGUUAAAGACUGUGAGUUUAGUAUGCUUAACUAAGUCAAACUCGUUUGUCUUACCAAAGUACAUGCUUAGGCGAAACCACUGUUAACAUAAAUAAUUUAACAUUUAUUCCAAAAGAUUUAAGCAACAAUUUAUAUUGCAUGAGAAAUGCUCAAAAUAAGCACAGACAUACAGCUCGAAGGUGCUCUGCAUUGUUCUCUGCAAAUGGCAAUACUGAGCCCGAACCUAAUGAAGAUUCAACGACGCCCAUAUUUGGCUGAUUCACAGCAUUUGGGUCAUGUAUAUUAAAAGCCAUGACAGCUAAUGUACACACUCCUAAUGGCGCAUCAUUCUUUGUCCCACGCCGAGCAGCAGCACGUUGCUCGCGGCUCCUUCGAUUUUUCUCAGCACGAGCCUCUUCUAAACUUCCAUAUACUCUAUUUCGACCCAUUCUCAAAGCAUAUUAUACACAGCUCAAGCGGAAACCAAACAAACGUCUAAAAUGAACCAUACAAAAGAACCACAGCAACAAAAAUGAAUUUCCAGCGAAGCCAAUCAAACAGUGAAGUACUUUAAAACCAAAAGAAACUUUCUCAAGUUAUUUCCGAAGCUGCGAAAGAAAACUAAGAAGAAAAAUUAGAGCCAAAA
Molecule: long non-coding RNA, 644 nt
Filed under: Coffea arabica (coffee)
Lineage: Eukaryota; Viridiplantae; Streptophyta; Magnoliopsida; Gentianales; Rubiaceae
Description: long non-coding RNA (CARA_LNC002389)
Source: RNAcentral